CCCCUGUGAUGAGUUGCCAUGCUAAUACUGAGACACCAGGUAGGGGAUCUUUUCCCUGCAUUGGGUGUUGUUGAGAUAAAUUCUACUUCUCUUAAAUCUACCUGAGGGGC
Molecule: small nucleolar RNA, 110 nt
Organism: Balaenoptera musculus (blue whale)
Lineage: Eukaryota; Metazoa; Chordata; Mammalia; Artiodactyla; Balaenopteridae
Source: Ensembl